GACGAACGCUGGCGGCGCGCUUAACACAUGCAAGUCGAGCGAAGCGGAGGACGGGUGAGUAACACGUGAGUAACCUGCCUUAGACAUUGGGAUAGCCUCGGGAAACCGGGAUUAAUACCAAAUGGUCUAAGAUGGACUCGCGUCCCAUUAGCUAGUUGGUGAGGUAACGGCCCACCAAGGCGACGAUGGGUAGCCGGCCUGAGAGGGUGAACGCCCACAUUUGAACUGGGAAACGGUCCAAACUCUACGGGAGGCAGCAGUGGGGAAUAUUGCACAAUGGAGUGAGCUCUGAUGCAGCGACGCCGCUUGAACGCAGAAGGCUUUCGAGUCGUAAAGUUCUUUUAUAUGGGAAGCGGUACCAUAAGAAAAAGGUCCGGCUAAAUACGUGCCAGCAGCCGCGGUAAUAC
Molecule: ribosomal RNA, 407 nt
Filed under: uncultured bacterium
Lineage: Bacteria
Description: partial 16S ribosomal RNA
Rfam family: Bacterial small subunit ribosomal RNA
Source: RNAcentral